This 275-nucleotide ribosomal RNA is filed under the name uncultured bacterium. RNAcentral describes it as "partial 16S ribosomal RNA". It matches the Rfam family "Bacterial small subunit ribosomal RNA", at positions 399 to 691 of the family's 1533-position model. The record is from RNAcentral.
GCGUGAGUGAUGAAGGCCUUAGGGUUGUAAAGCUCUUUUAUCCGGGACGAUAAUGACGGUACCGGAGGAAUAAGCCCCGGCUAACUUCGUGCCAGCAGCCGCGGUAAUACGAAGGGGGCUAGCGUUGCUCGGAAUCACUGGGCGUAAAGGGCGCGUAGGCGGCCAUUCAAGUCGGGGGUGAAAGCCUGUGGCUCAACCACAGAAUUGCCUUCGAUACUGUUUGGCUUGAGUUUGGUAGAGGUUGGUGGAACUGCGAGUGUAGAGGUGAAAUUCGU